UAGGGAAUCUUCCGCAAUGGGCGAAAGCUUGCCGGAGCAACGCCGCGUGAGUGAUGACGGUCUUCGGUUCGUAAAACUCUGUUAUUAGGGAAGAACAAAUGUGUAAGUAACUAUGCACGUCUUGACGGUACCUAAUCAGAAAGCCACGGCUACCUACGUGCCAGCAGCUGCGGUAAUACGUAGGUGGCAAGCGUUACCCGGAAUUAUUGGGCGUAAAGCGCGCGUAGGCGGUUUUUUAAGUCUGAUGUGAAAGCCCACGGCUUAACCGUGGAGGGUCAUUGGAAACUGGAAAACUUGAGUGCAGAAGAGGAAAGUGGAAUUCCAUGUGUAUCGGUGAAAUGCGCAGAGAUAUGGAGGAUCACCAGUGGCGAAGGCGACUUUCUGGUCUGUAACUGACGCUGAUGUGCGAAAGCGUGGUGAUCAAACAGG
RNAcentral lists this ribosomal RNA (429 nucleotides) under Actinomycetes bacterium. RNAcentral's name for it is "Actinobacteria bacterium partial 16S ribosomal RNA". It matches the Rfam family "Bacterial small subunit ribosomal RNA", at positions 355 to 776 of the family's 1533-position model. Lineage: Bacteria; Bacillati; Actinomycetota; Actinomycetes. The record is from RNAcentral.